GCAGUGAUGGUUCAGUGGUAGAAUCCAUGCCUUUCAUGCAGGAGACCAGGGUUUGAUUCCUGGCCGGUGCA
RNAcentral lists this transfer RNA (71 nucleotides) under Loxodonta africana (African savanna elephant). It matches the Rfam family "tRNA". From Rfam's summary of the family: Transfer RNA (tRNA) molecules are approximately 80 nucleotides in length. Their secondary structure includes four short double-helical elements and three loops (D, anti-codon, and T loops). Lineage: Eukaryota; Metazoa; Chordata; Mammalia; Proboscidea; Elephantidae. The record is from Rfam by way of RNAcentral.